Cicer arietinum (chickpea) is the source of this 2727-nucleotide non-coding RNA. Lineage: Eukaryota; Viridiplantae; Streptophyta; Magnoliopsida; Fabales; Fabaceae. The record is from RefSeq and is a predicted model, not a curated record.
CACCCCCACCCCCACCUCCUUUUACUAAUGCUCCACCACCCCCACCCCCACCUCCUUUUACUAAUGCUCCACCAAGAACACCUUUAAAUAAAGCUCCACCUGCACCUCCGCCGCCUUCUUACACUAGUGCUCCAACGGCACCACCCCCACCUCCUCCACCCCCUUUUAGUACAAGUCAGUCUCCAUCGCCUCUUUUUAGUAGAGCUCCACCACCACCACCACCCCUUCCUUCAUCAAGUGGAAGACCACCUCCACCUCCACCUCCUCCAAUGUCUAGAGCCCCUCCACCUCCACCCUUUCCUGGAGCACCUCCACCACCUCCACCACCACCUCCUGGUGGUGGUCGAGGCCCACCCGCUCCCCCUCCUCCUGGUGGUCGAGGCCCACCUCCUCCCCCUCCUCCUGGUGGUCGAGGCCCGCCUCCUCCCCCUCCUCCUGGUGGUCGAGGCCCGCCUCCUCCCCCUCCUCCUGGUGGUCGAGGCCCACCUCCUCCACCUUUUCCUGGGGCUCCUCCUCCUCCUGGUGGUGCACCUCCACCACCUCCACCCUUGGGUUCUAAAGGGGCAAAUGUUGGAGUUGAUCCAAGAGGGAGAGGGCGUGGAUAUGCACGUCCUGGUGCAGUGGCACCCCGACGAUCCUCCUUAAAGCCUUUGCAUUGGAGUAAGGUUACAAGGGCACUACAAGGAAGUUUAUGGGAAGAAUUACAAAGACACGGAGAACCGCAAAUUGCACCAGAGUUUGAUGUUUCGGAGCUAGAGAAGCUUUUCUCUGCAAAUGUUCCAAAACCUACCGAUUCAAGUAAAUCUGGAGGGAGGCGCAAGUCUGCUGGAUCUAAACCUGACAAAGUCCACUUGAUCGACCUAAGGAGAGCCAAUAAUACGGAAAUCAUGCUAACGAAGGUUAAGAUGCCACUCCCUGAUAUGAUGGCUGCAGUACUGGCUAUGGAUGAGUCGGUAUUAGAUGUUGAUCAGGUGGAAAAUCUCAUUAAAUUUUGUCCUACCAAAGAGGAAAUGGAACUUUUGAAGGCAUACACUGGUGACAAGGAUAAUCUGGGGAAGUGUGAACAGUUUUUUUUGGAGUUGAUGAAGGUGCCAAGGGUGGAGUCAAAAUUAAGAGUAUUCGCUUUUAAAAUUCAGUUUCAGUCUCAGGUUACGGAAUUUAGGAAGAGUUUAAACACUGUGAACUCUGCCUGUGAAGAGGUCCGGAAAUCAUACAAACUGAAGGACAUCAUGAAGAAAAUUCUUUUUUUGGGUAAUACAUUGAAUCAGGGAACGGCAAGAGGAUCUGCAGUCGGAUUUAAGUUGGAUAGCCUUUUAAAGCUCACUGACACUCGUGCUACAAACAAUAAGAUGACACUGAUGCAUUAUCUUUGCAAGGUGCUAGCUGAAAGGUCGCCUGGACUCCUUGAUUUUCACAAAGACCUUGUUAGUCUGGAAGGUUCCACUAAGAUACAAUUGAAAUCAUUAGCAGAAGAAAUGCAGGCAAUCACCAAGGGAUUAGAAAAGGUUAAACAAGAGCUUGCUGCAUCUGAAAAUGAUGGACCUGUGUCUGAAGUUUUCUACAUUGAAAGGAUUCAUAACUGUAGCUGAGUCAGAUGUAGCAGAUCUAUUAAAAUUAUAUUCUAUGGUGGGUAAAAAUGCAGAUGCCCUUGCACUGUAUUUUGGCGAGGAUCCUGCAAGAUGCCCAUGUGAGCAAGUUACUGCAACUCUAUUAAAUUUUAUAAGAUUGUUCCGGAAAGCACAUGAAGAGAAUUGCAAACAAGCAGAGUUAGAGAAGAAGAAAGCUGAGAAAGAGGCUGAAAUGGAGAAAGGCAAAGGGCGUUAACUUAACACGGAAGAGUGCAGAAGACAGUUGAUGACUGGGUUUUCUGCUCCUUUGCACCGACAGCCUGCUCUCACCGAAGAGCCGGAAUCUAUCCAUGCGAGAGGAAUGCAUCUGAAGCUAGUUGUGACUUAAGAAGCUUCUGUUUCCACGUUGAUCAUGAUGUGAAAAUGAGCCUUUCAAGCUUAUCUAUUGAAGGUGGAAUUGCAAAUUCAUGCCACAUGAGGACCUUUGAACGUACACCAAGCUAAGGAGUUGAUUCUUUGAUGGCAUGCUGUUGAAUCGGAUCCGCCCGUAUGGCCGAUUGAUCCUUUUUGUCAGAAGAGUUGUUUUGAGUUUAUUCCAAAUGUUUCAUUAGAUUGCUGGAUCUUUCCCGUGGAGGAAACUACAACACAUUGUGAUGGAUGCUUACUGUGAUUGCUCAAGAUAUCAUCUGCGUCCUCCAAUGAAUGAACCAGUCCACGUCAGGUUGGUUCAAGAAAUUUCUUUUGCAGCAGAGCAUGCUUGCUGUAGAACUGGCAUUGGCAUGCAUCGUUCAUUUGCCAUAUUUUAUACAGCACCAGCGCAGAAGCUUUUUGGACUUUCGAAGCCCUGCAACCGUAGCAGUACCAUGGAACUUUUGUACAAAGAACUAAUCCUUCCCUUUAGGAUCCAAUUCUUUCUCAUCUAACAUAGAAAUUAGUUUCCUUUAUUAUGGAGAUUUUGGUAGAAAAUGUUGUAUAGCUGUCAGGUUAAGAGAAAAUAGAAAUUAGGUCACUGUAUUGUAACUGUAAUAUAAGUGAAGAGAAAGUCUAAUUAGAAAUGCAAAGCUAAGUUUAAUUUUUCGUGUGAAAUAAUACAAUCAUCAAGUGUAAAAGGUUCUUGUAACAUUCUGUUGUACACAAAAAGAAAAUCUUUAUUUGCAUA